CGUAGGGGUGAACCAUCCCAUCGCCCCUCCUCGCUGUGCCCCAGGGCCCAGCACAUGUCACACACAGAAGGUACUCAAUAUUUGCUGAACAAAUGCAAUAGAUAAAUGGAGAGAGAGGCUCAGCCAGGCUAGGCUGGGUGGGCUGGUUUCAUUCUGACCAAUUAUCUCUCCUGCCUUGCCAUGCACUUUAUGAUUUUCCUGCCCUUUCGUUAAGUAGCCGCACACCCUAAGUGGCCGAGCAUGUGACCAGUCAAGGACAAUGUAGGGAGAGGCAUGAGGGAAGGGAAGGGGGAAAUGCCAGGCUCCGGUGCCCCAUCCCCAGCAAGCACAGUGGGGAUGACCGAAGGUGGGGCAGAGAAUAGGCACUACCUGGGGCCUCUCACACCCAUUCGUGAGUUCGGCAAACGGAUCUUACUGAGCAUGAACCACACGGCAGUCACUGCGGAGGAAGUGGAGCGGGAAGCUGGACAGAAAGCCCUGCCUUCCUGCAACCCGUAUUCUGUGGGGAGAGACGGCCAAGGGCCAGAGACAGAUAGAAACAAAUCUUUCCAAACCUGAAGCUAGCUGAUAAAGGAACGCCCAGAUUUUCAUCACCUGUCGUUGAUGCCUAGCGAGGGUCAGGUGUGGAAGUCUUCACAUAUAGGUCCCUGCAGCUCCAUUCCUGGGGUCCGUUGUUUCUCUCUCUGGUCCUAACAAGCAAGAUGUCAGAGGUAACGCCACGGAAAGGGUCUUUCAUCUCUGUCAAAAGUACAUGUAAUUUUUAAGAAACCAAUUAAAAAAAAAUCUGCCUUUCCUCUUUA
This is a long non-coding RNA of Hyaena hyaena (striped hyena), 800 nucleotides long. RefSeq lists it as uncharacterized. The record is from RefSeq and is a predicted model, not a curated record. The transcript has 3 exons. Lineage: Eukaryota; Metazoa; Chordata; Mammalia; Carnivora; Hyaenidae.